This 497-nucleotide ribosomal RNA is filed under the name uncultured bacterium. RNAcentral describes it as "partial 16S ribosomal RNA". It matches the Rfam family "Bacterial small subunit ribosomal RNA", at positions 28 to 507 of the family's 1533-position model. The record is from RNAcentral.
GAUGAACGCUGGCGGCGUGCCUAAUACAUGCCAGUCGAGCGAACAGAUGAGGAGCUUGCUCCUCUGACGUUAGCGGCGGACGGGUGAGUAACACGUGGAUAACCUACCUAUAAGACUGGGAUAACUUCGGGAAACCGGAGCUAAUACCGGAUAAUAUAUUGAACCGCAUGGUUCAAUAGUGAAAGACGGUUCUGCUGUCACUUAUAGAUGGAUCCGCGCCGCAUUAGCUAGUUGGUAAGGUAACGGCUUACCAAGGCAACGAUGCGUAGCCGACCUGAGAGGGUGAUCGGCCACACUGGAACUGAGACACGGUCCAGACUCCUACGGGAGGCAGCAGUAGGGAAUCUUCCGCAAUGGGCGAAAGCCUGACGGAGCAACGCCGCGUGAGUGAUGAAGGUCUUCGGAUCGUAAAACUCUGUUAUUAGGGAAGAACAAAUGUGUAAGUAACUAUGCACGUCUUGACGGUACCUAAUCAGAAAGCCACGGCUAACUACGUG